UAGGGAAUCUUCGNNAAUGGACGGAAGUCUGACCGAGCAACGCCGCGUGAGUGAAGAAGGUUUUCGGAUCGUAAAGCUCUGUUGUAAGAGAAGAACGAGUGUGAGAGUGGAAAGUUCACACUGUGACGGUAUCUUACCAGAAAGGGACGGCUAACUACGUGCCAGCAGCCGCGGUAAUACGUAGGUCCCGAGCGUUGUCCGGAUUUAUUGGGCGUAAAGCGAGCGCAGGCGGUUAGAUAAGUCUGAAGUUAAAGGCUGUGGCUUAACCAUAGUACGCUUUGGAAACUGUUUAACUUGAGUGCAAGAGGGGAGAGUGGAAUUCCAUGUGUAGCGGUGAAAUGCGUAGAUAUAUGGAGGAACACCGGUGGCGAAAGCGGCUCUCUGGCUUGUAACUGACGCUGAGGCUCGAAAGCGUGGGGAGCAAACAGGAUUAGAUACCCUGGUAGUCCACGCCGUAAACGAUGAGUGCUAGGUGUUAGACCCUUUCCGGGGUUUAGUGCCGCAGCUAACGCAUUAAGCACUCCGCCUGGGGAGUACGACCGCAAGGUUG
This 550-nucleotide ribosomal RNA is filed under the name uncultured bacterium. Its description in RNAcentral is "bacterial SSU rRNA". It matches the Rfam family "Bacterial small subunit ribosomal RNA", at positions 355 to 896 of the family's 1533-position model. The record is from RNAcentral.